RNAcentral lists this long non-coding RNA (1314 nucleotides) under Homo sapiens (human). Its description in RNAcentral is "HSALNT0023631". The record is from RNAcentral. Lineage: Eukaryota; Metazoa; Chordata; Mammalia; Primates; Hominidae.
AGGUGAUUUCAGGCCCCGGAGGGAUUCUGAGGGCAGUGGGCACAUUCAGGAGUUUCAAGUCAAUACAGUGGUGACAGGUGCCCAGCACCUUACUUCCUCGGGGCGAAUUUGCCGAAGAGCGGAGAGAGCAGGUUUCAAUGCAAAGAGGAAGAACCAGGAAACAGUCACAUCAGAGCAUCUGCUUUUGUCCUUGCCAAAUGCACAGGCACAGAUCAGCUUGGAGAACUCCCUUUUGUGUUUCUGGUUCAAGGAACGGAGCCCUCAUUUCUCCCUGUGCUCGUGAGGAACAGGAAGUCAAAUGAAAGUUUAAAAGGAUGACGCGGCUGGAAAAAUCAUUGUAAUGGAGGAUGCCUUCAUACAAAGCUCUCAGGGAAAAGCAUUGACAAGCUUAUUGGAGGGGGCUCUUCAUCUCCAGGAUGGCAGUGUGACCCACCCGAAGAGUCCAGCCAGGCAUCGGGAGCACAGGGUCUCACUCUUUCACUUAGGCUGGAGUGCAGUGGCACAGUCACAGCUCACUGCAGCCUCCAACUCCUAGGCUCAAGCGAUCCUCCCACCUCAGCCACCCAAGUAGCUGGGACCACAGGUGCACACCACCACACCUGGCUAAUUUUUUAAUUUUUUGUAGCAACAGGGUCUCACUAUGUUGUCAAGGCUGGUCUCCAACUCCUGGGCUCAAGUCAUCUUCCCGCCUCAGCCUCCCAAAGUGCUGGGAUUAUAGAUGUGAGCUACUGCCCCAGGCCUAAAAUGAUUCCUUAAACACACUUCUUAGUUCUAUUUCCUGGCCUUUCAGGUGAGGUGGAAAAGGGUGGCCCAGACUAUCAUUUUAUUCAUCACCCAAAUCUUUCAUCCAGGAGAAGAAGAACAGAGAGGUUAGAGGGCUGUGUUUAGGUGGGUUACAUGCAGACCUGUUUCUAAAGUGCAGAGAGGGAGCUGGCAGCCUCAGCCCCAAGCUCAGCAUCCAUGAGGGAUUCUACUUUCUGGGUAACUGUGCAGAUCAAGGCCUGAUUCUUCACCUCCAUGAGCUCUCACUGUCUGCAUUUGAAUACUCUCUGCAACCCUUAUUCAUUUUGUUACCUACUUUGAUUUUUAGAAUGUCUGUCACUCAAAGUCCUCUGAACUAAAAAAUUCCAAAUUGAAACUACGAGGUGCAGAUCCAUGGUAUUAAACCCCUUCAAGCAGCAGAAGGGGGAAUGGUUUUCUGACGAAGCAGGUCAUGGUAGAGGGGGAGUGAGAGAAUCUCACCACCCCAAGGCUCUAACUUUGUGAAUUUCUUUUCUUUUUUCUUUUCUUUUUUUUCUUUUUUUUUUUUUUUGA